Molecule: ribosomal RNA, 460 nt
Filed under: uncultured bacterium
Lineage: Bacteria
Description: partial 16S ribosomal RNA
Rfam family: Bacterial small subunit ribosomal RNA
Source: RNAcentral
CCUACGGGAGGCAGCAGUGAGGAAUAUUGGUCAAUGGACGAGAGUCUGAACCAGCCAAGUAGCGUGAAGGAUGACUGCCCUAUGGGUUGUAAACUUCUUUUAUAUGGGAAUAAAAUGUUCCACGUGUGGGAUUUUGUAUGUACCAUAUGAAUAAGGAUCGGCUAACUCCGUGCCAGCAGCCGCGGUAAUACGGAGGAUCCGAGCGUUAUCCGGAUUUAUUGGGUUUAAAGGGAGAGUAGGUGGAUUGUUAAGUCAGUUGUGAAAGUUUGCGGCUCAACCGUAAAAUUGCAGGUGAAACUGGCAGUCUUGAGUACAGUAGAGGUGGGCGGAAUUCGUGGUGUAGCGGUGAAAUGCUUAGAUAUCACGAAGAACUCCGAUUGCGAAGGCAGUUCACUGGACUGCAACUGACACUGAGGCUCGAAAGUGUGGGUAUCAAACAGGAUUAGAUACCCUUGUAGUC